Oreochromis niloticus (Nile tilapia) is the source of this 1134-nucleotide long non-coding RNA. RefSeq lists it as uncharacterized. The record is from RefSeq and is a predicted model, not a curated record. The transcript is spliced from 3 exons. NCBI's taxonomy places the organism in Eukaryota, Metazoa, Chordata, Actinopteri, Cichliformes, Cichlidae.
GGGGGCUGCUGGCUUCUGCUUUAUGACAAACAUUUGUGAACAGGCUUCUUUGUAUUGUGUGUGGUGGGAGGCUGGACAGAAGCCUUGACCUCCUGGUCUACAUCUACCCAGGGCUGAUUUGCUGAUGUCAGCCAAGUCGUCAAGCUGGGACACGUUCUGAGGUGUGUUGAAGUCACUUUUGGAUUUGACAACUGACGCAUGUCAGUCUCCGAUAACCAAAGAUGGAAAUGGGCAAGCAGAGAAGCCAGCAGCUUUAUCUGGUAGUUUUUACAUGCACAUUGUGAAUAAAUGGCCUGCAUUUGUAUAGCGCUUUACUCAGUCCCUAAGGACCCCAAAGCGCUUUACACUACAUUGUAAAGCUCUAACCUUUGACUGUGAGCUCCACCAAUUUGAUGACAUCCUCCACAAUGUGGUGCAUCUCACGUGUUGGCACAGAGGCAGGCCUGAGGCACGGAGAGAACGCUGGAACCGCUGUUUUUUUUUUUUUUUUUUAUUUAUUUAUUAGUUUUAAACUAUCAAAUUAAAUCACAAUUUUAUUCUGCAAAAUUAGACAAGAUGACCCCACAGAAACAUCAUUCUGGUCACUCCCAGCGAAAACCUUAACAUUUUCAGCUCUGCCACCUCGGCUUCCUGUCUUUUUGUUAGGGCCACUGUGUUGAAACCAUACAUCAUAGCAACCUUCAUUUUCACUAUUGAUGAUAUCCUUCUGUCACAAAACACACCUCACAUUUGUUUCCACCCACUCCACUUAAUAUUGGACUUUGGAAUUUUUUCUUUUUAUUAAAGCCCUGCUAAUUGUUAUCUGGUGGAAGGUCAGACAAUUAGCCAACCACUACUUUAGAUAUUAUGAAAUGUCUGAAUUUCUUAAAAUAAUUAGAUAAAGAACAUACUUUGGAUUUUCCCCAGUAAAUAGUGGCACUGUAAGGUUAUUCCUCCUGUAUGUUUGUCUUUUGUAGACUGCAGUAAUCCUGACAACUUUUUUUUUUGUAUUAAAACUUUGUCCAUUUUGACUUUUCAUAUUCCAGCUGUACAUUCUUUUAAAAGCAAAUCUUUGCAUUUCCAGAACGGAUAAACUGUCACUUGUUUUUGUUCACAAAUCUGACUCUGAAACACAUUGCGUAACACCGCGGUCUA